UGGGGAAUAUUGCACAAUGGGCGCAAGCCUGAUGCAGCCAUGCCGCGUGUGUGAAGAAGGCCUUAGGGUUGUAAAGCACUUUCAGCGAGGAGGAAGGCAUCAUACUUAAUACGUGUGGUGAUUGACGUUACUCGCAGAAGAAGCACCGGCUAACUCCGUGCCAGCAGCCGCGGUAAUACGGAGGGUGCAAGCGUUAAUCGGAAUUACUGGGCGUAAAGCGCACGCAGGCGGUUUGUUAAGUCAGAUGUGAAAUCCCCGCGCUUAACGUGGGAACUGCAUUUGAAACUGGCAAGCUAGAGUCUUGUAGAGGGGGGUAGAAUUCCAGGUGUAGCGGUGAAAUGCGUAGAGAUCUGGAGGAAUACCGGUGGCGAAGGCGGCCCCCCUGGACAAAGACUGACGCU
This 401-nucleotide ribosomal RNA is filed under the name uncultured bacterium. RNAcentral's name for it is "partial 16S ribosomal RNA". It matches the Rfam family "Bacterial small subunit ribosomal RNA", at positions 355 to 747 of the family's 1533-position model. The record is from RNAcentral.